This 485-nucleotide ribosomal RNA is filed under the name uncultured bacterium. Its description in RNAcentral is "partial 16S ribosomal RNA". It matches the Rfam family "Bacterial small subunit ribosomal RNA", at positions 28 to 523 of the family's 1533-position model. The record is from RNAcentral.
GAUGAACGCUGGCGGCGUGCCUAAUACAUGUAAGUCGAACGAGGUGCCUUUGUAGCAAUACGAGGGUAUCCUAGUGGCGAACGGGUGAGUAACGCGUUGGUGACCUGCCCCGAAGUGUGGGAUAACAGUCCGAAAGGACUGCUAAUACCGCAUGCGGUCAUCGGGUUUAGAAGCCGAUGACCAAAGCAGCAACGCGCUUUGGGAGGGACCUGAGUCCCAUCAGCUAGUUGGUAGGGUAACGGCCUACCAAGGCUACGACGGGUAGGGGACCUGAGAGGGUGACCCCCCACAAUGGAACUGAAACACGGUCCAUACACCUACGGGUGGCAGCAGUAGGGAAUAUUGCACAAUGGGCGAAAGCCUGAUGCAGCAACGCCGCGUGCACGAUGAAGGUCUUCGGAUCGUAAAGUGCUUUUCUGGGAGAUGAGAAAGGACAGUAUCCCAGGAAUAAGUCUCGGCUAACUACGUGCCAGCCACCGCCGUAA